Molecule: ribosomal RNA, 252 nt
Filed under: uncultured bacterium
Lineage: Bacteria
Description: partial 16S ribosomal RNA
Rfam family: Bacterial small subunit ribosomal RNA
Source: RNAcentral
UACGAAGGGUGCAAGCGUUGUUCGGAUUUAUUGGGCGUAAAGCGCGCGCAGGCGGAUUAUUAAGCCAGAUGUGAAAUCUCGGGGCUCAACCCCGAAACUGCGUCUGGAACUGGUAAUCUAGAAUCUUGGAGGGGGAAGCGGAAUUUCGCAUGUAGGGGUAAAAUCCGUAGAGAUGCGAAGGAACACCAGAGCCGAAGGGGGCUUCCUGGCCAAGUAUUGACGCUGAGGCGCGAAAGCGUGGGAGCAAACAGG